RNAcentral lists this ribosomal RNA (519 nucleotides) under uncultured eukaryote. RNAcentral describes it as "SSU rRNA". It matches the Rfam family "Eukaryotic small subunit ribosomal RNA", at positions 1161 to 1698 of the family's 1831-position model. The record is from RNAcentral.
AGGGCACCACCAGGAGUGGAGCCUGCGGCUUAAUUUGACUCAACACGGGAAAACUCACCCGGCCCGGACACUGGAAGGAUUGACAGAUUGAGAGCUCUUUCUUGAUUCAGUGGGUGGUGGUGCAUGGCCGUUCUUAGUUGGUGGAGUGAUUUGUCUGGUUAAUUCCGAUAACGAACGAGACUCUAGCCUAUUAAAUAGAUCGUUGGCUUACAAACGCCGGCGAGACUUCUUAGAGGGACAGGCGGCGAUUCAGCCGCACGAAGCAGGGCAAUAACAGGUCUGUGAUGCCCUUAGAUGUCCGGGGCCGCACGCGCGCUACACUGAAGUGAUCAGCGUGCAUUUUGAAACCUACUCUGUCAAGAGUGGGGAACCCAAUGAACCUUCUUCGUGAUUGGGAUAGGGGAUUGUAAUUAUUCCCCUUGAACGAGGAAUCCCCAGUAAGCGCGAAUCAUAAGUUUGCGCUGAUUACGUCCCUGCCCUUUGUACACACCGCCCGUCGCUACUACCGAUUGAAUGUUU